AGUGAACGCUGGCGGUAGGCCUAACACAUGCAGGUCGAACGGCAGCACAGUAAGAGCUUGCUCUUACGGGUGGCGAGUGGCGGACGGGUGAGGAAUACAUCGGAAUCUACUUUUUCGUGGGGGAUAACGUAGGGAAACUUACGCUAAUACCGCAUACGACCUACGGGUGAAAGCAGGGGAUCUUCGGACCUUGCGCGAUUGAAUGAGCCGAUGUCGGAUUAGCUAGUUGGCGGGGUAAAGGCCCACCAAGGCGACGAUCCGUAGCUGGUCUGAGAGGAUGAUCAGCCACACUGGAACUGAGACACGGUCCAGACUCCUACGGGAGGCAGCAGUGGGGAAUAUUGGACAAUGGGCGCAAGCCUGAUCCAGCCAUACCGCGUGGGUGAAGAAGGCCUUCGGGUUGUAAAGCCCUUUUGUUGGGAAAGAAAAGCAGCAGGUUAAUACCCCGCUGUUCUGACGGUACCCAAAGAAUAAGUACCGGCUAACUUCGUG
RNAcentral lists this ribosomal RNA (492 nucleotides) under uncultured bacterium. RNAcentral's name for it is "partial 16S ribosomal RNA". It matches the Rfam family "Bacterial small subunit ribosomal RNA", at positions 29 to 507 of the family's 1533-position model. The record is from RNAcentral.